AGUGAACGCUGGCGGUAGGCCUAACACACGCAAGUCGAACGGCAGCACAGUAAGAGCUUGCUCUUACGGGUGGCGAGUGGCGGACGGGUGAGGAAUACAUCGGAAUCUACUUUUUCGUGGGGGAUAACGUAGGGAAACUUACGCUAAUACCGCAUACGACCUACGGGUGAAAGCAGGGGAUCUUCGGACCUUGCGCGAUUGAAUGAGCCGAUGUCGGAUUAGCUAGUUGGCGGGGUAAAGGCCCACCAAGGCGACGAUCCGUAGCUGGUCUGAGAGGAUGGUCGGCCACACUGGAACUUGGACACGGUCCAGACUCCUACGGGAGGCAGCAGUGGGGAAUAUUGGACAAUGGGCGCAAGCCUGAUCCAGCCAUACCGCGUGUGUGAAGAAGGCCUUCGGGUUGUAAAGCCCUUUUGUUGGGAAAGAAAAGCAGCAGGUUAAUACCCCGCUGUUCUGACGGUACCCAAAGAAUAAGCACCGGCUAACUUCGUG
This 492-nucleotide ribosomal RNA is filed under the name uncultured bacterium. Its description in RNAcentral is "partial 16S ribosomal RNA". It matches the Rfam family "Bacterial small subunit ribosomal RNA", at positions 29 to 507 of the family's 1533-position model. The record is from RNAcentral.